AAACGUGUUUAGUACACUUGAAAAUAUUUGCAUUGCAAAAGGAGAGUGACUCUCCUGAGGAAAAUCAAAUUGAUAUUUUGUAUUAAGAGACCACUCCGGGCACCGUGUGGCCUUCCGCGGAGACUUCUGUUUACAGUACAGCCAGCGUUUGAAACUGACCUUCAGAAGAAAAGGUCCGGCUAUAGCUUUGGCAACUUUAUAAACCACGGACCAUCUUCUGGCAGCAGGGUUCUCCACAUUAGUCAGCAGGACAGAGAGAGCAGGAAGGAAUAUUAGUUGCUUGUCUGUUGACUGUUACUUCUCAAGCCUCGGUCUGGUGGACUGAUGACCAGACUCAGCGCAAAUGGUUUUUCAACUUUACACCUGAAAACAAUAAGUAAAGAAAACGUCCAUCAGACUAGGUGAAGAUCACAAAGCUGUUCUCUAUUAUUGUGCUGGAGCUGAAUCCAAGACUCCAGGACCACAAAUUUCUAGUUCGGCUGGUUUCAGAAGAUGAAGUGAAGGGAGAAAAUAAGUACAAACCUUUCUGUUCCAGUUGUACGGUGGAGAAAGUGCAGCUUCAUCAGCUUCAAAACUAUGCUGAAAGGGGAGCUUUCAAAACAAAACAGCAUAACUCGAUACAAGCAACGUACGAAUGAAAUUCUGUAUUCCAUUUGACUUUCUGAGUAUACACUCAUGUUGAUCUGUGUUUAUCUUUACACAUCAUGUUGCUACAUCUCCUGAAUGUGUGCUUUCUUUGUGAUAUUUCCAUACCAUCACCACAGUUAUUUAAAAAAGUCACAUGUUUCAAAAUAAUAAUAUUUUUAAAUUUUUUCCUUUAUAAUUAGCACAUGAAGAAAAUAUAAUACUUAUUUUGAAACCAAUAGGUGGUGCUAUGAAGUUUUAGAUUUUAAUUCAAAGAAAUAUAUUCAUUUAACUUCCCUAGUCCUCAGAGAAUUAGAAAUUUCCUAUUUAUCACAGAGUUUUCAUGGUAAAAUAAAAAAAAAAACCACAUUGAUUUUCACAUGCAGUUCUCUUUCUUUGCAAGAUCAACCAUAAUGCAGGGUGUGAAGGAAAUCUCUACACUUUUUGAAAGGAAGGCAUAUUUGCAGAAACUCACCCACAUAGUCUUCUCUAUUCUCUCUCCAUCUACUAACUGGAAAUACACAGAAAUACAGAAUUUGAAUAUUAUAGUUCACGGUCUGAACAGCCUUAGGAGCUACAUUUCUAUAAAAGGCAAUACCCUUAGUGCUGCUCCAUCACAAUCCAGCUAUCUGUCUUCAUAGAUUCCAAGAAUCAUGCAUGAGAAUCAGGGAGCUGUGAUGAGGCAAUUUAAAGUGAGAAUCAGAGCUUUGUUUGUUUUUAGGGAAGACAAUGUACUUCUGGUACAUAUAAGAAAAGUUUUGGAGCAGGUCCUGCACCUUGUGUGGGCGAUACAAUAGAGCCAGUCCUGUUGGCGGAGGUGUGGGUGAACCAGCCCUGAAGUUGUUGCACGGGAGAGCUGUCCCCAUUACUCAUCUGUCAUGUGGCAGCAUGGGAUGGGGAGAGAUGCCCUCUACCCCUCACCCAUCAACACUGAAGCAGGUGGAAGAGCCGGCCCUGAGGUCAUAAGAGCAGGAGAACUGUCUCUGCCCCUCAUCAGCUGCAGCACUUGGGAGAGGGUCCCCUAUGCCACACCUUGACAGCACAGUAGAGCUGACCCUGAAGGUGCAGGUGUGGGAGAUCGGGAUCCUGAGGACAUGAAAACAGGAGAACUGGCCCUGCCCCUUGCUCAUCACUGUAAGGGGUGAAUUAGCCAGGACAAUGCAGGAGAGCUCACCCCAGUGGUGAGGGCAAGGGAGAGCUGGCAGGCUGGCCAACCCUGCAACUACUCAGACUCAGGAACUGGGAUUAUGUAUUAGCUCACCCCAACAUCCACCUCAUCUGUGAUCUGCUGGAGCAUGUGAAGGGACUGGUCCUGCCCACCCAAAGCUGCAGGAUUUCCACAACACAGGGCAACAACAGGGUAUCCAAGAGGAGUUCCAGGGAGAGCCCAGCCCAGCAUUGAUAAUACAGCAGAAACCAGGGGCCUCGAACCACAUCAACGACUCUUUGCAGUGAACACUUGCAAGUAAAGAUAUACGGAUAAAAGGUUUUACUGUAUGACUCAC
Long non-coding RNA from Peromyscus californicus insignis, 2129 nucleotides. RefSeq lists it as uncharacterized. The record is from RefSeq and is a predicted model, not a curated record. NCBI's taxonomy places the organism in Eukaryota, Metazoa, Chordata, Mammalia, Rodentia, Cricetidae. The transcript has 3 exons.